Molecule: ribosomal RNA, 468 nt
Filed under: uncultured bacterium
Lineage: Bacteria
Description: partial 16S ribosomal RNA
Rfam family: Bacterial small subunit ribosomal RNA
Source: RNAcentral
GACGAACGCUGGCGGCGUGCUUAACACAUGCAAGUCGAACGGAAAGGCCCUGCGUUUGUGGGGUGCUCGAGUGGCGAACGGGUGAGUAACACGUGAGUAACCUGCCCUUGACUUUGGGAUAACUUCAGGAAACUGGGGCUAAUACCGGAUAGGAGCUCCUGCUGCAUGGUGGGGGUUGGAAAGUUUCGGCGGUUGGGGAUGGACUCGCGGCUUAUCAGCUUGUUGGUGGGGUAGUGGCUUAACAAGGCUUUGACGGGUAGCCGGCCUGAGAGGGUGACCGGCCACAUUGGGACUGAGAUACGGCCCAGACUCAUACGGGAGGCAGCAGUGGGGAAGAUUGCACAAUGGGCGGAAGACUGAUGCAGCAACGCCGCGUGCGGGAUGACGGCCUUCGGGUUGUAAACCGCUUUCGCCUGUGACGAAGCGUGAGUGACGGUAAUGGGUAAAGAAGCACCGGCUAACUACGUG